GGUUAAGCGACUAAGCGUACACGGUGGAUGCCCUGGCAGUCAGAGGCGAUGAAGGACGUGCUAAUCUGCGAUAAGCGUCGGUAAGGUGAUAUGAACCGUUAUAACCGGCGAUUUCCGAAUGGGGAAACCCAGUGUGAUUCGUCACACUAUCAUUAACUGAAUCCAUAGGUUAAUGAGGCGAACCGGGGGAACUGAAACAUCUAAGUACCCCGAGGAAAAGAAAUCAACCGAGAUUCCCCCAGUAGCGGCGAGCGAACGGGGAGCAGCCCAGAGCCUGAAUCAGUGUGUGUGUUAGUGGAAGCGUCUGGAAAGGCGCGCGAUACAGGGUGACAGCCCCGUACACAAAAAUGCACAUGCUGUGAGCUCGAUGAGUAGGGCGGGACACGUGGUAUCCUGUCUGAAUAUGGGGGGACCAUCCUCCAAGGCUAAAUACUCCUGACUGACCGAUAGUGAACCAGUACCGUGAGGGAAAGGCGAAAAGAACCCCGGCGAGGGGAGUGAAAAAGAACCUGAAACCGUGUACGUACAAGCAGUGGGAGCACAGAGCAAUCUGUGUGACUGCGUACCUUUUGUAUAAUGGGUCAGCGACUUAUAUUCUGUAGCAAGGUUAACCGAAUAGGGGAGCCGAAGGGAAACCGAGUCUUAACUGGGCGUUAAGUUGCAGGGUAUAGACCCGAAACCCGGUGAUCUAGCCAUGGGCAGGUUGAAGGUUGGGUAACACUAACUGGAGGACCGAACCGACUAAUGUUGAAAAAUUAGCGGAUGACUUGUGGCUGGGGGUGAAAGGCCAAUCAAACCGGGAGAUAGCUGGUUCUCCCCGAAAGCUAUUUAGGUAGCGCCUCGUGAAUUCAUCUCCGGGGGUAGAGCACUGUUUCGGCAAGGGGGUCAUCCCGACUUACCAACCCGAUGCAAACUGCGAAUACCGGAGAAUGUUAUCACGGGAGACACACGGCGGGUGCUAACGUCCGUCGUGAAGAGGGAAACAACCCAGACCGCCAGCUAAGGUCCCAAAGUCAUGGUUAAGUGGGAAACGAUGUGGGAAGGCCCAGACAGCCAGGAUGUUGGCUUAGAAGCAGCCAUCAUUUAAAGAAAGCGUAAUAGCUCACUGGUCGAGUCGGCCUGCGCGGAAGAUGUAACGGGGCUAAACCAUGCACCGAAGCUGCGGCAGCGACGCUUAUGCGUUGUUGGGUAGGGGAGCGUUCUGUAAGCCUGCGAAGGUGUGCUGUGAGGCAUGCUGGAGGUAUCAGAAGUGCGAAUGCUGACAUAAGUAACGAUAAAGCGGGUGAAAAGCCCGCUCGCCGGAAGACCAAGGGUUCCUGUCCAACGUUAAUCGGGGCAGGGUGAGUCGACCCCUAAGGCGAGGCCGAAAGGCGUAGUCGAUGGGAAACAGGUUAAUAUUCCUGUACUUGGUGUUACUGCGAAGGGGGGACGGAGAAGGCUAUGUUGGCCGGGCGACGGUUGUCCCGGUUUAAGCGUGUAGGCUGGUUUUCCAGGCAAAUCCGGAAAAUCAAGGCUGAGGCGUGAUGACGAGGCACUACGGUGCUGAAGCAACAAAUGCCCUGCUUCCAGGAAAAGCCUCUAAGCAUCAGGUAACAUCAAAUCGUACCCCAAACCGACACAGGUGGUCAGGUAGAGAAUACCAAGGCGCUUGAGAGAACUCGGGUGAAGGAACUAGGCAAAAUGGUGCCGUAACUUCGGGAGAAGGCACGCUGAUAUGUAGGUGAAGUCCCUCGCGGAUGGAGCUGAAAUCAGUCGAAGAUACCAGCUGGCUGCAACUGUUUAUUAAAAACACAGCACUGUGCAAACACGAAAGUGGACGUAUACGGUGUGACGCCUGCCCGGUGCCGGAAGGUUAAUUGAUGGGGUCAGCGCAAGCGAAGCUCUUGAUCGAAGCCCCGGUAAACGGCGGCCGUAACUAUAACGGUCCUAAGGUAGCGAAAUUCCUUGUCGGGUAAGUUCCGACCUGCACGAAUGGCGUAAUGAUGGCCAGGCUGUCUCCACCCGAGACUCAGUGAAAUUGAACUCGCUGUGAAGAUGCAGUGUACCCGCGGCAAGACGGAAAGACCCCGUGAACCUUUACUAUAGCUUGACACUGAACAUUGAGCCUUGAUGUGUAGGAUAGGUGGGAGGCUUUGAAGUGUGGACGCCAGUCUGCAUGGAGCCGACCUUGAAAUACCACCCUUUAAUGUUUGAUGUUCUAACGUUGACCCGUGAUCCGGGUUGCGGACAGUGUCUGGUGGGUAGUUUGACUGGGGCGGUCUCCUCCUAAAGAGUAACGGAGGAGCACGAAGGUUGGCUAAUCCUGGUCGGACAUCAGGAGGUUAGUGCAAUGGCAUAAGCCAGCUUGACUGCGAGCGUGACGGCGCGAGCAGGUGCGAAAGCAGGUCAUAGUGAUCCGGUGGUUCUGAAUGGAAGGGCCAUCGCUCAACGGAUAAAAGGUACUCCGGGGAUAACAGGCUGAUACCGCCCAAGAGUUCAUAUCGACGGCGGUGUUUGGCACCUCGAUGUCGGCUCAUCACAUCCUGGGGCUGAAGUAGGUCCCAAGGGUAUGGCUGUUCGCCAUUUAAAGUGGUACGCGAGCUGGGUUUAGAACGUCGUGAGACAGUUCGGUCCCUAUCUGCCGUGGGCGCUGGAGAACUGAGGGGGGCUGCUCCUAGUACGAGAGGACCGGAGUGGACGCAUCACUGGUGUUCGGGUUGUCAUGCCAAUGGCACUGCCCGGUAGCUAAAUGCGGAAGAGAUAAGUGCUGAAAGCAUCUAAGCACGAAACUUGCCCCGAGAUGAGUUCUCCCUGACCCUUUAAGGGUCCUGAAGGAACGUUGAAGACGACGACGUUGAUAGGCCGGGUGUGUAAGCGCAGCGAUGCGUUGAGCUAACCGGUACUAAUGAACCGUGAGGCUUAACCUU
This 2906-nucleotide ribosomal RNA is filed under the name Escherichia coli. RNAcentral describes it as "23S ribosomal RNA". It matches the Rfam family "Bacterial large subunit ribosomal RNA". The record is from RNAcentral. Lineage: Bacteria; Pseudomonadati; Pseudomonadota; Gammaproteobacteria; Enterobacterales; Enterobacteriaceae.